This 253-nucleotide ribosomal RNA is filed under the name uncultured bacterium. Its description in RNAcentral is "partial 16S ribosomal RNA". It matches the Rfam family "Bacterial small subunit ribosomal RNA", at positions 524 to 776 of the family's 1533-position model. The record is from RNAcentral.
UACGAAGGGGGCUAGCGUUGCUCGGAAUCACUGGGCGUAAAGCGCGCGUAGGCGGAUCUUUAAGUCAGGGGUGAAAUCCUGGAGCUCAACUCCAGAACUGCCUCUGAUACUGGGGAUCUUGAGUCCGGAAGAGGUAAGUGGAACUGCGAGUGUAGAGGUGAAAUUCGUAGAUAUUCGCAAGAACACCAGUGGCGAAGGCGGCUUACUGGUCCGGUACUGACGCUGAGGUGCGAAAGCGUGGGGAGCAAACAGG